Non-coding RNA from Chlorocebus sabaeus (green monkey), 1581 nucleotides. The record is from the annotation of a RefSeq genome assembly. NCBI's taxonomy places the organism in Eukaryota, Metazoa, Chordata, Mammalia, Primates, Cercopithecidae.
AACCACAGAUCUCCUCCAGCAGCAGCCCUGACUCUGCUAAUUUGCAUCACAGGCUGCUCUCUUCAGCAAGGGAAUAAGAGAGGCCUGGGAGGAACCUGCCCAGCCUGGGCCUCAGGAAGCAGCAUCGGGGGUGCCUAAGCCAUGGCCUGGACCGCUCUCCUUCUGAGCCUCCUUGCUCACUUUACAGGCUCUGUGGCCUCCUAUGAGCUGACUCAGCCACUCUCAGUGUCAGUGGCCCUGGGACAGAUGGCCAGGAUCACUUGUGGGGGAAACAAUAUUGGAAGGAAAAAUGUGCAGUGGUACCAGCAGAAGCCAGACCAGGCCCCUGUGCUGGUCAUCUAUCAGGAUAGCAAGCGGCCCUCUGGGAUCCCUGAGCGAUUCUCUGGCUCCAACUCGGGGAACACCGCCACCCUGACCAUCGACAGAGCCCAAGCCGGGGAUGAGGCUGACUAUUACUGUCAGGUGUGGGACAGCAGCACUGCACACAGUGACACAGGCAGAUAAGGAAGUGAGACACAAACCCUUUCUCCAUCUGUGUCACCCUCUUUCUCUAACUCCAGGAGUACUAUGAACAAAGCCAUAAGCAGAUCUGGUUCAAUUUUCUUUAAUCUCUGCCCCCAGCCUGUCCCUCCCUCCAGUGCUUCAGGCGGGGUCUGCAGAAAGUGCAUCAGAAGUUCAUUUAGGGUGAUGUGAUGGACUGGUGUUUUGGUGACUCAGCUGUGACUUGGGAAAAUAGGGCCUGUAUGGAACAUCAGACUGAGGUAGACAUCCAUAGUUGGCUCUGGAUUUCCAUAGGUGGUGACAGGCCAGUCCUUGCCCCAAAUGUCCUAGAUCAGUCCCCAGAACUGCUCAGCUCAGGCUCCCGUGGUAGCCGGGGCAGAAAACAGACUCCUCCAGGUUUAUGCCCUGCCUCAGCGAGGUUAGGUUUCAUGACUGCCUGAGGUCAACAUCUCAAGACUCUGCCUCAAUAUAGGAGGACCUGAAAAUCCUCCCAGCUCCACAGCUCCCUGUAGGAAACACUGAGGCCUCAAUGAGAAUCGGGGUCUCCUGCCCGGUGUUGCCUCCCUCACCUCCUUUCACAUCCUCUGUGCAUGCAAUUCUCCAUCUCAGAGUCUGCUUCCAGGGAACCCAAAUUAAGAUCACCAGCCAUCCCCAACAUGGGCCAUGCGGGAAACUCAGUAGGCCACAGUACACUGGAAAGCAUCCUAAAUUAGCAUUGUGAGUAUCCACAUGCCCAAUGAAAUCUGAGUGUUUCUUGCAUUUGUAUGGAUGAAAAGGGAGCCUGACUCACCAGGUGCUCUGGGUUCUGAGGGAGAGCUGGAGUCAGAUCUCCCCGCACAGAAACCUGGGGCAGGAGGAGCAGCCUCACCCCAUGCAGGGACCACAGAUGCAUCCACAGGGUGAGCUGCAGGAUGGACACUGCCCACCUCCACCCUCCACACCCAGUGCAAAAAAUAUCAUUCUUUCCACCCCUCCUUCAGCCUAUCCAAGUUGACACUUAAAAAGCCACCACAGCCCACGCUUGUCAACAGGAAACCCAUUCACAUCUCCAUCAACCACACAAUCCCCACAGAUUCUUCA